GACAGAGGAUGCAAGCGUUAUCCGGAAUGAUUGGGCGUAAAGCGUGCGCAGGCGGUUCGCAAAGACGGGUGUGAAAUCCCCGGGCUUAACCUGGGAACUGCAUUGGUGACUGCAUUGUUGGAGUAUGGCAGAGGGGGGUGGAAUUCCACGUGUAGCAGUGAAAUGCGUAGAGAUGUGGAGGAACACCGAUGGCGAAGGCAGCCCCCUGGGCCGAAUACUGACGCUCAUGCACGAAAGCGUGGGGAGCAAACAGG
RNAcentral lists this ribosomal RNA (254 nucleotides) under uncultured bacterium. Its description in RNAcentral is "partial 16S ribosomal RNA". It matches the Rfam family "Bacterial small subunit ribosomal RNA", at positions 524 to 776 of the family's 1533-position model. The record is from RNAcentral.